This 510-nucleotide ribosomal RNA is filed under the name uncultured bacterium. Its description in RNAcentral is "partial 16S ribosomal RNA". It matches the Rfam family "Bacterial small subunit ribosomal RNA", at positions 28 to 507 of the family's 1533-position model. The record is from RNAcentral.
GACGAACGCUGGCGGCGUGCUUAACACAUGCAAGUCGAACGAAGAGCGAUGGACGCUUUCUUCUAUCAAUCUUAGUGUCGCACGGGUGAGUAACGCGUAAUCAACCUGCCCUUCAGAUGGGGACAACAGUUGGAAACGACUGCUAAUACCGCAUACGAUCCAAUCUCGGCAUCGGGACUGGAUUAAAGGUGGCCUCUAUUUAUAAGCUAUCACUGAAGGAGGGGAUUGCGUCUGAUUAGCUAGUUGGCGGGGUAACGUCCCACCAAGGCGAUGAUCAGUAGGCGGUCUGAGAGGAAGGACGGCCACAAUGGGACUGGGAAACGGCCCAGAAUGCUACGGGAAGCAGCAGGGGGGAAUCAUACGCAAUGGGGGAAAGUCUGACGGAGCAACGCCGCGUGAGUGAUGACGGCCGUCGGGUUGGAAAGGUCUGUUAAUCGGGACGAAAGGUUAUUGUGCGAAUAGUGCGAGGAUUUGACGGUACCGGAAGAGAAAGCAACGGCUAACUACGUG